AACGAACGCUGGCGGCAGGCCUAACACAUGCAAGUCGAGCGCGCCUUCGGGUGAGCGGCGGACGGGUGAGUAACGCGUGGGAAUAUGCCCUUCUCUACGGAAUAAUCCUGGGAAACUGGGGGUAAUACCGUAUACGCCCUUUGGGGGAAAGAUUUAUCGGGGAAGGAUUAGCCCGCGUUGGAUUAGGUAGUUGGUGGGGUAAUGGCCUACCAAGCCGACGAUCCAUAGCUGGUUUGAGAGGAUGAUCAGCCACACUGGGACUGAGACACGGCCCAGACUCCUACGGGAGGCAGCAGUGGGGAAUCUUAGACAAUGGGGGCAACCCUGAUCUAGCCAUGCCGCGUGAGUGAUGAAGGCCUUAGGGUUGUAAAGCUCUUUCAGCUGGGAAGAUAAUGACGGUACCAGCAGAAGAAGCCCCGGCUAACUCCGUG
Molecule: ribosomal RNA, 431 nt
Filed under: uncultured bacterium
Lineage: Bacteria
Description: partial 16S ribosomal RNA
Rfam family: Bacterial small subunit ribosomal RNA
Source: RNAcentral